This 235-nucleotide long non-coding RNA is filed under the name Elaeis guineensis (African oil palm). Its description in RNAcentral is "long non-coding RNA (EGUI_LNC042432)". Lineage: Eukaryota; Viridiplantae; Streptophyta; Magnoliopsida; Arecales; Arecaceae. The record is from RNAcentral.
GCCUCUAUGGAUAUCCACUCAGGAUCAGUCUGGAACAGUCCUCUUCAAGUUAAAUUUUUUUUCUAGAAAAAUUCAGCCUGCUGAAUCUGAAUGAAACCUGGAUCGCGAUCAACACUUGAUCUCUUUUCUUGACCUUCUUCUUCUCUUUUUCUCUUGCCUUUCUCUCUUGCUUUGUGCUACUACCAAACAUCAGGAACUAGCAAGGAGGGGACACUCAACAGCUGGGUGUGAGAGA